RNAcentral lists this ribosomal RNA (253 nucleotides) under uncultured bacterium. Its description in RNAcentral is "partial 16S ribosomal RNA". It matches the Rfam family "Bacterial small subunit ribosomal RNA", at positions 524 to 776 of the family's 1533-position model. The record is from RNAcentral.
UACGAAGGGAGCUAGCGUUGUUCGGAAUCACUGGGCGUAAAGCGCGCGUAGGCGGAUGUGUCAGUCAGGUGUGAAAUCCCGGAGCUCAACUUCGGAACUGCCUCUGAUACAGCACGUCUUGAGUCCGGAAGAGGUGGGUGGAAUUCCUAGUGUAGAGGUGAAAUUCGUAGAUAUUCGCAAGAACACCAGUGGCGAAGGCGGCUCACUGGCCCGAUACUGACGCUGAGGCACGAAAGCGUGGGGAGCAAACAGG